This is a long non-coding RNA of Micropterus dolomieu (smallmouth bass), 976 nucleotides long. RefSeq lists it as uncharacterized. The transcript is spliced from 2 exons. Lineage: Eukaryota; Metazoa; Chordata; Actinopteri; Centrarchiformes; Centrarchidae. The record is from RefSeq and is a predicted model, not a curated record.
GAUUUUUGCCGGUAUCUGCGUCUGUCCUCUCCUGCUUGUACUUGCCAGGCACGCCUCUUUAGCUCUUUUCACAUUUAACUUCUGCAGGGAGCUGACUGGAUAUUCUUCUCUUCUGUGUUCUUUUCUUAUUAUGUCUGUGGUGUCCACCGUAAAGUAAAACAAAUGAAACCUGAGGAAAAAAAUGAUUUCUGGUCAAACAUAGCUUCCCUCUCUCAACGACAGUAAACACGUUAACUUUCGUGAAGCUGACUUUCACGCUGCGUGAUUGGGUGGUCGAUUUGAAAAGCUUGAUUCUGAUUGGUCCAACUGAAUGCACUGUGCUAGUGGACUGGGUGGGAGGGCACACUUCGGCCCUCUGUUCACAUGCGUUUACUUUUUACAAACAGAAACAAGUAUAACUGUAUUAUGAUUUAAAGUAUGCUUAUUUCUAUAUGUUGUUGUUUGUUAAGUUAAGAACAUGUGCUGCUUCCUUCUAGGCCAGGUUACCCUUAUGAAAGAGGUUGUUAUGGUUUUCUCUCCUUUUCUUCAGUUAUUCUGAUUUUUCCUUGGUUUUCUCUGUUCUCUGCCUGCCUCCCUGUGUGUGCUCUCUCUCCCUCUGCUCCUGAGCCCAGCCAAUGACCCGCACCUGCACCUCAUCAGCCUGCCACACCUGCCAGUAGUCAACCUCAUCCCUGCAUGUAUUUCAACCCCAGCUCUCCACACCAUUCUUGCUUGAUCGUCGUUGCUCCCAACCUGGUUCAUUCACCCUCGUCCUCCGUCCAGUCGGCUGGGCUCUACCUGCGGUCCCCUCCUCCUCGGACUUCCCUCACGGCGUCCUCCCAGUCCUUCCUUGCCUCCCCGCUUCCUCGGCCCCAAUGCUCCCCAGCUCUGGUCCUAGUCUCCUCGGUUCCCUGUGCCUGCGUUUCCCCGGCAAUCUCUUCUCCCUCGACUCCAGUCCCUAACCCCCCUUUUCUCAAUAAAACUUGCUUAAACCAAA